GAUAAGAAGAUAAGAUACAGAAAAUAAAGCACAGCGCAUUGCACAGAUCUGCACCAAUGGAUUGGAAUGGAAUGUAGGAUUCUUUUCUUGCUGUGGACACCAUCAUAAUGUGAGAUCACUUCUCUGCUCAAUAGGACAAUCAUACCGAUUCCUUAGGAAGACAUAUAGGAAUCAGUAGAGGGAGAUCCUACCCUGGAAUCAUUUGAUGUCCUUGUGUUAUCUUCCUCUACAAAAAGGGCUAGUUGAAAUAAUGACAUGUGGGAGAUCAGCACUCCAAGUCAAAAUUGCAAAACAGAAGAAAAUUCCAGAGUUAUAUCACUGUUAAGAUAGCAACAAAUAAAUAAUUUGCACCCUACAACCCAUGUGUGAAUUUAAUUCUGGAAAACCCAAUCUGAGACAGGGAAAUCCAUCACCAUGUGAAAAAGCCGGGGAUAGUCUGCUGGAAGAAAAUGUAACUUGCAGAGAAUAGGUAAG
Long non-coding RNA from Gorilla gorilla gorilla (western lowland gorilla), 474 nucleotides. RefSeq lists it as uncharacterized. Lineage: Eukaryota; Metazoa; Chordata; Mammalia; Primates; Hominidae. The transcript has 3 exons. The record is from RefSeq and is a predicted model, not a curated record.